CCUACGAGAGGCAGCAGUGGGGAAUAUUGGGCAAUGGGCGCAAGCCUGACCCAGCAACGCCGCGUGAAGGAAGAAGGCUUUCGGGUUGUAAACUUCUUUUCUCAGGGACGAAGCAAGUGACGGUACCUGAGUAAUAAGCCACGGCUAACUACGUGCCAGCAGCCUCGGUAAUACGUAGGUGGCAAGCGUUAUCCGGAUUUACUGGGUGUAAAGGGCGGGUAGGCGGGACUUAAAGUCAGAUGUGAAAACCACGUGUUCAACCUGUGGCCUGCAUUUGAAACUGUAGUUCUUGAGUACUGGAGAGGCAGACGGAAUUCCUAGUGUAGCGGUGAAAUGCGUAGAUAUUAGGAGGAACACCAGUGGCGAAGGCGGUCUGCUGGACAGCAACUGACGCUGAGGCGCGAAAGCGUGGGGAGCAAACAGGAUUAGAUACCCUUGUAGUC
This 443-nucleotide ribosomal RNA is filed under the name uncultured bacterium. RNAcentral describes it as "partial 16S ribosomal RNA". It matches the Rfam family "Bacterial small subunit ribosomal RNA", at positions 338 to 795 of the family's 1533-position model. The record is from RNAcentral.